RNAcentral lists this ribosomal RNA (554 nucleotides) under uncultured archaeon. Its description in RNAcentral is "bacterial SSU rRNA". It matches the Rfam family "Archaeal small subunit ribosomal RNA", at positions 326 to 887 of the family's 1478-position model. The record is from RNAcentral.
CGGGGUGCACCAGGCGCGAAAACUUUACAAUGCGGGAAACCGUGAUAAGGGAACUCUGAGUGCCCGUUAAAUCGGGCUGUCCAUCAGUUUAAAAAACUGGUGAAGAAAGGGCCGGGCAAGACCGGUGCCAGCCGCCGCGGUAAUACCGGCGGCUCGAGUGGUGGCCACUAUUACUGGGCUUAAAGCGUUCGUAGCUGGUUUGUUAAGUCUCUGGGGAAAUCUUCCGGCUUAACCGGAAGGCGUCUCAGGGAUACUGGCAGACUAGGGACCGGAAGAGGUGAGAGGUACUCCAGGGGUAGGAGUGAAAUCCUGUAAUCCUUGGGGGACCACCUGUGGCGAAGGCGUCUCACCAGGACGGCUCCGACAGUGAGGGACGAAAGCUGGGGGAGCAAACCGGAUUAGAUACCCGGGUAGUCCCAGCCGUAAACGAUGUGCGUUAGGUGUAUCGGUGACCACGAGUCACCGAGGUGCCGAAGAGAAAUCGUGAAACGUACCGCCUGGGAAGUACGGUCGCAAGGCUGAAACUUAAAGGAAUUGGCGGGGGAGCACAAGGG